UCAGCUCCUGGAUGACUACAAGAAAGGGAACCUCCACAUCAUUCCAGAAACUCCUCUGGCUGAGGAGAGAUCAGGAGAUGACAGUGAUGUGUUGAUAGACCCAGGAGAUGAACAUAUGCCUGAGAAGAAGAACUAGUGUGGAACUGUCAGCCAGGUUUUUGAUGAGUGCUCAGACUGCUUCCUGAUCCGGCACCACAUUUACUAUAGUGGACAGAUGCUCUAGUCUCUGAUGAGGAGUUGCUAGCUGUUAGGAAAAACCUGGAAUGGGCUCCACUGCAUGAGGUUUGAAGUCUCCAGAGCAGCAAAGAGAGUGGGGAGUAGAAC
This 324-nucleotide long non-coding RNA is filed under the name Mus musculus (house mouse). RNAcentral describes it as "predicted gene, 57873". Lineage: Eukaryota; Metazoa; Chordata; Mammalia; Rodentia; Muridae. The record is from RNAcentral.